RNAcentral lists this RNase P RNA (365 nucleotides) under Porphyromonadaceae bacterium. RNAcentral describes it as "RNase P RNA component class A". It matches the Rfam family "Bacterial RNase P class A". From Rfam's summary of the family: Ribonuclease P (RNase P) is a ubiquitous endoribonuclease, found in archaea, bacteria and eukarya as well as chloroplasts and mitochondria. Its best characterised activity is the generation of mature 5'-ends of tRNAs by cleaving the 5'-leader elements of precursor-tRNAs. Cellular RNase Ps are ribonucleoproteins. The record is from RNAcentral. Lineage: Bacteria; Pseudomonadati; Bacteroidota; Bacteroidia; Bacteroidales; Porphyromonadaceae.
GCAGUGGGGCGGUCUGUCGCUUCUCCCCCAGAGGGAGGUGAGGAACGUCCGGGCAACGCAGAGCACCAUGCUUCCUAACGGGAAGUCGUCCGUGAGGGCGAAGUAGCGUAACAGAGAAUGACCGCCCGCAGCCUCGGCUACGGGUAAGGGUGAAAAGGUGCGGUAAGAGCGCACCGAGCCUGUGGUGACACGGGCUGCCGUACGCCUGAUGGGUUGCAAGAUCAUGUAUACCGACGCCACGAGGCUUGCUCGGCCCAUGUCGGAGGGUAGAUCGCUUGAGAGGAGUGGUGACACUCCAUCCAGAUAAAUGGCAGACGCCGAGCCUUGGCUCGGUACAGAACCCGGCUUAUAGCCCCACUGCCGCU